Molecule: microRNA, 21 nt
Filed under: Populus trichocarpa (black cottonwood)
Lineage: Eukaryota; Viridiplantae; Streptophyta; Magnoliopsida; Malpighiales; Salicaceae
Description: ptc-miR477d-3p
Gene: ptc-miR477d-3p
Source: miRBase by way of RNAcentral
UGGACUCCUUUGGGGAGAUGG